GACUCUCGGCAACGGAUAUCUCGGCUCUCGCAUCGAUGAAGAACGUAGCAAAAUGCGAUACUUGGUGUGAAUUGCAGAAUCCCGUGAAUCAUCGAGUCUUUGAACGCAAGUUGCGCCUGAAGCCAUUCGGCCGAGGGCAUGCCUGCCUGGGCGUCACGCAUCG
This 163-nucleotide ribosomal RNA is filed under the name Pinguicula conzattii. RNAcentral's name for it is "5.8S rRNA". It matches the Rfam family "5.8S ribosomal RNA". Rfam says of the family: 5.8S ribosomal RNA (5.8S rRNA) is a component of the large subunit of the eukaryotic ribosome. It is transcribed by RNA polymerase I as part of the 45S precursor that also contains 18S and 28S rRNA. Lineage: Eukaryota; Viridiplantae; Streptophyta; Magnoliopsida; Lamiales; Lentibulariaceae. The record is from RNAcentral.